Cryptomeria japonica (Japanese cedar) is the source of this 627-nucleotide long non-coding RNA. RefSeq lists it as uncharacterized. The transcript has 2 exons. NCBI's taxonomy places the organism in Eukaryota, Viridiplantae, Streptophyta, Pinopsida, Cupressales, Cupressaceae. The record is from RefSeq and is a predicted model, not a curated record.
UUCGAAUUAUUUUGUUUAUUUUAAUGGAAAAUGGAGGCAUUGGGUAUUUUUAUGUGCGAUUUCAAAUGACUUAAGGCAAGUUUUGAAUUCUUUUGUUAAUUCAGAUGAAAAAUGGAGGCAUUGGGUAUUGAUGGUUCUCCUCUCUGGUCAAUCCACCUUGUGUAUAAUCUGUGUUUCUUGAAUUUUAUUGGGGUUGGAAGCAACCUGAUUUGAAUAUAUGUAAAGAUGCCUCUUUGUUGUUCACAUUCUGUUCCAAAUCAUUCGUUGGAAGGUUUUCUGCCGAGAAAAUGGCGUUUCUAGGGCUAUUGUGAAUGAUAGCAACAGCAGUGAACACUGAGAAUUCCAGAAUCUUUCAGCGAAGAUUAUUUUGGCAAUGAAUUUGGGUCUAGGGUUUACAUUGUGCCACAUAAUUUGCUGAGAUAAAAGUCUUUUCAAUAAAGUAGGGUUUCAUUUUAAGCAGCUUUCUCAUUUUCUGAAGGUUGGUAUGAACACCUGGUGAUGUGAUUGUUCAUUAAUAGACCUCUGAGGCAGAUGAAAAAAGGUUGAAAUAGUCAGAAUUAUCAUUUCUGUGGAUUUGAAAUGUGGCAAUGACAUUGAUUGACAUAUAGAAAUGGUUAUUUUCUUCAA